RNAcentral lists this ribosomal RNA (609 nucleotides) under uncultured fungus. RNAcentral's name for it is "eukaryotic LSU rRNA". It matches the Rfam family "Eukaryotic large subunit ribosomal RNA", at positions 23 to 641 of the family's 3401-position model. The record is from RNAcentral. Lineage: Eukaryota; Fungi.
ACCCGCUGAACUUAAGCAUAUCAAUAAGCGGAGGAAAAGAAACCAACAGGGAUUGCCUUAGUAACGGCGAGUGAAGCGGCAAAAGCUCAGAUUUGAAAUCUAGCGUCAUAUUGGCGUUCGAGUUGUAAUCUGUAGAGAAGUUAUCGAGUGUGGAUAUGGCUUAAGUUCUUUGGAACAGGACGUCAUAGAGGGUGAGAACCCCGUAUACGGCCUUUGUCUUAUGCUCAUGUGAGGCUUCUUCGACGAGUCGAGUUGUUUGGGAAUGCAGCUCUAAAUGGGUGGUAAAUUCCAUCUAAAGCUAAAUACUGGCAAGAGACCGAUAGCGCACAAGUAGAGUGAUCGAAAGAUGAAAAGCACUUUGAAAAGAGAGUUAAACAGUAUGUGAAAUUGUUGAAAGGGAAGCGCUGGCAACCAGACUCGUGCGCGGGGUUCCCCCUUGCUUCUGCUUGGGUUACUUCCCCGUGUCCGGGCCAUCAUCAGUUUCGGGGGCCGGUUAAAGGCCUUGGGAAUGUAUCUACUCCUUCGGGGGUAGACUUAUAGCCCAGGGUGUCAUGCGGCCAUUCGGGACUGAGGAACGCGCUUCGGCGAGGAUGAUGGCGUAAUGGUUGU